RNAcentral lists this ribosomal RNA (469 nucleotides) under uncultured bacterium. RNAcentral describes it as "bacterial SSU rRNA". It matches the Rfam family "Bacterial small subunit ribosomal RNA", at positions 30 to 490 of the family's 1533-position model. The record is from RNAcentral.
AUUGAACGCUGGCGGCAUGCUUUACACAUGCAAGUCGAACGGUAACAGGGAGCUUGCUCCGCUGACGAGUGGCGAACGGGUGAGUAAUGCAUCGGAACGUGCCGUGUAAUGGGGGAUAACGUAGCGAAAGUUACGCUAAUACCGCAUACGCCCUGAGGGGGAAAGUGGGGGACCGCAAGGCCUCACGUUAUACGAGCGGCCGAUGUCGGAUUAGCUAGUUGGUGGGGUAAAGGCCUACCAAGGCGACGAUCCGUAGCGGGUCUGAGAGGAUGAUCCGCCACACUGGGACUGAGACACGGCCCAGACUCCUACGGGAGGCAGCAGUGGGGAAUUUUGGACAAUGGGGGGCAACCCUGAUCCAGCCAUGCCGCGUGAGUGAAGAAGGCCUUCGGUGUAAGACUCUUUCAGGUGGAAAGGAAAUACGCAUCUUUUAAUACAGGGUGUGGAGUGACGGUACCAUCAGAAGAAG